CGGGACGUGGCGCAGCUUGGUAGCGCACUUGACUGGGGGUCAAGGGGUCGUGGGUUCGAAUCCCGCCGUCCCGACCG
This 77-nucleotide transfer RNA is filed under the name Actinobacteria bacterium 13_2_20CM_2_72_6. RNAcentral's name for it is "tRNA-Pro". It matches the Rfam family "tRNA". From Rfam's summary of the family: Transfer RNA (tRNA) molecules are approximately 80 nucleotides in length. Their secondary structure includes four short double-helical elements and three loops (D, anti-codon, and T loops). Lineage: Bacteria; Bacillati; Actinomycetota. RNAcentral also lists the same sequence under 2 other names. The record is from RNAcentral.